CUCUAUGGCCAUACCACCCUGAAUGCACCUGUUUGUGUCUGGUCUUGGAAGCUAAGUAGGGUCAGGCCUGGUUAGUUCUUGGAAGGGAGACCGCCUGGGAAUAUUGGGUGCUGUAGGCU
Molecule: ribosomal RNA, 119 nt
Filed under: Callithrix jacchus (white-tufted-ear marmoset)
Lineage: Eukaryota; Metazoa; Chordata; Mammalia; Primates; Cebidae
Source: RNAcentral